Molecule: ribosomal RNA, 414 nt
Filed under: uncultured microorganism
Description: bacterial SSU rRNA
Rfam family: Archaeal small subunit ribosomal RNA
Source: RNAcentral
GUGCAGCAGUCGCGAAACCUCCGCAAUGCGCGAAAGCGCGACGGGGUUACCCCGAGUGCCGUCCGCUGAGGACGGCUUUUGCCCAGUGUAGCCAGCUGGGCGAAUAAGGAGAGGGCAAGUCUGGUGUCAGCCGCCGCGGUAAUACCAGCUCUCCGAGUGGUGGGGACGCUUAUUGGGCCUAAAGCAUCCGUAGCCGGUCUGGCAAGUCCCUUGUUAAAUCCAACGAUUCAAUCGUUGGACUGCAAGGGGAUACUGCCAGACUAGGGGGCGGGAGAGGCCGACGGUAUUCCCCGGGGUAGGGUGAAAUCCUAUAAUCCCGGGAGGACCACCAGUGGCGAAGGCUGUCGGCUAGAACGCGCCCGACGGUGAGGGAUGAAAGCUGGGGGAGCGAACCGGAUUAGAUACCCCUGUAGU